Ornithorhynchus anatinus (platypus) is the source of this 1171-nucleotide long non-coding RNA. RefSeq lists it as uncharacterized. The record is from RefSeq and is a predicted model, not a curated record. Lineage: Eukaryota; Metazoa; Chordata; Mammalia; Monotremata; Ornithorhynchidae. The transcript is spliced from 4 exons.
CGCGGGUUGGCGGAGCCUUCCCGGCUCCCAGAAAAGAGAGAAAAACCCAGCCUGUCUUUGGAAGCGACGGUUUGGAACUCGUCUUUGGAGGAGGGAGGGAAAAGGGAAAAAAAAUCAUCCUCUCCCAGCCUCUAGACCGUCCCCGGCUGACCCCGCGAGAGACCGUCUGAAAAGUUCGUCUUUUAGGGCUCUGACUUGAAUUAAAACCGUCAAACGAUGGGACGGCUUCUAGCCCGGCCGCGUUGAGGAACAACGCCGUCCUUCAGGGGCCCCUCUUGGAUUCCGCCGUCUUCCUCUCAGGAGUGAGUCCAGCUGGCGUGUACAUUGCGGUCAUGAAGGGUUUCCCCCCGCUCUCCCCAGCUAGAAACACAGCACGGCCCCUCGCCGCUUUUCCCACCGCUCACCAACGCCUCCCGGCCAGUCCGGCUUCUCGGCGCCGGUCGCGCGCCUCCCGGCCGCUCCCGCCGGUCCUCCUCGGUCGGAUUCCAGUGGGUCCCCCGAGGCCCACCCCUUCUCCGCAGCUUUCUCCACGACGAUCAGCACCCCCCGGCCGGCUCUCCUCCGGGUCCGGGAUUCCGUCGAGGGACCCCCGAUGCCCGGACUCGGGCUCCCGGGAACGCCCGACGUCCUGCCUCCCGGCCCUCCGGUGGCUCCGCUAGGCCCCGGGGAGGAGCCGGGGACUGGCCUUGGGCCCUUCCUGGCCCGGUCCGGCUUGGCUGAGAAGGAACAGUGCUCUGAACUCAGGAGUGCUCCCUGAGCACCACCCACGGAUUGCCGGUCCCAGAGAGAAUUCUGCUGUCAGACGCACCUUCUCGUCCAGCCCCCAAACACCGCCGCUAUUUACACCGGGCUGAACGGCCGCGGGGAGGUUAAUCUCUUCCCGUUCCGGGGCCCGUGACCCCUCGCGAAGGAGAGCCCGGCCGCAGCCCCCUCGCUCUAUCCGACUGGAGAACAACCCGCAUCCACUCUCCGACUCAGCUUUCAAAAACAACGGCAGGGAAUUUACGCCGACUGGUGACUCCAGGGAAAAUAUUUAUAUUUACAUUUACAUCCAUGUCUGUGUCCGGCUCUAGACCGUUAGCUCGUUCGUUCACUCGUUUAAUCUUACUUAUGGAGCGCGUACUGUGUGUAAAGCGCUCUACUAAGCGCUUGGGAGAGUGCAGUGCAUCAA